Molecule: long non-coding RNA, 327 nt
Organism: Sebastes umbrosus (honeycomb rockfish)
Lineage: Eukaryota; Metazoa; Chordata; Actinopteri; Perciformes; Sebastidae
Exons: 2
Source: RefSeq, a predicted model, not a curated record
GUCUGCUGUUAGAUGCAGCAUAUUUAUAUAGAUGGUUUGUAUUAGGAGAGUAUAUUGGAAUGUUACUAAGUCAGCAGGGUCCUGGGAGGCCCGGGUCAGAGUUGAAGAGACAUAUGGCGGCAAAAGAGAGGUGUUUCUAUUUUUAUUUGUCCCUCUCCUAAAACCAUAUGAGGAAACUAAGGGUUUGACCAGAACAAGCUCGGUAUUUAAGGAGCUGUCUGUAUACGUUCGGGAGAGUUCUCUCAUUAUUCGGCUGGAGGCUCUCCAAGUAACUUGUUACUUGUUUACGAUACUGAACUUAUUGUAAUAAAUUUGUUAUACAACUAA